UACGUAGGGGGCAAGCGUUGUCCGGAUUUAUUGGGCGUAAAGAGCGUGUAGGCGGCCAGACAGGUCUGCUGUGAAAACUCGAGGCUCAACCUCGAGACGCCGGUGGAAACCGUCUGGCUAGAGUCCGGAAGAGGAGAGUGGAAUUCCUGGUGUAGCGGUGAAAUGCGCAGAUAUCAGGAGGAACACCGGUGGCGAAGGCGGCUACCUGGACCAGCACUGACACUCAGACACGAAAGCGUGGGGAGCAAACAGG
This 253-nucleotide ribosomal RNA is filed under the name uncultured bacterium. RNAcentral's name for it is "partial 16S ribosomal RNA". It matches the Rfam family "Bacterial small subunit ribosomal RNA", at positions 524 to 776 of the family's 1533-position model. The record is from RNAcentral.